UACGGAGGGUGCGAGCGUUAAUCGGAAUUACUGGGCGUAAAGCGCAUGCAGGUGGUUUGUUAAGUCAGAUGUGAAAGACCCGGGGCGUCAACCUCGGAAUAGCAUUUGUAAACUAGGCAGACUAGAGUACUGUAGAGGGGGGUAGGAAUUUCAGGUGUAGCGGUGAAAUGCGUAGAGAUCUGAAGGAAUACCGGUGGCGAAGGCGGCCCCCUCGGACAGAUACUGACACUCAGAUGCGAAAGCGUGGGGAGCAAACAGGAUUAGAUACCCUGGUAG
This 276-nucleotide ribosomal RNA is filed under the name uncultured bacterium. Its description in RNAcentral is "partial 16S ribosomal RNA". It matches the Rfam family "Bacterial small subunit ribosomal RNA", at positions 524 to 793 of the family's 1533-position model. The record is from RNAcentral.